Molecule: ribosomal RNA, 300 nt
Filed under: Triticum aestivum (bread wheat)
Lineage: Eukaryota; Viridiplantae; Streptophyta; Magnoliopsida; Poales; Poaceae
Description: partial small subunit ribosomal RNA
Source: RNAcentral
CAGGCACCGAAGAAGGAGAAGGCCCCAGCGGCGUCGUCGAAGCCGGCCAAGUCGGGCGGCGGGAAGCAGAAGAAGAAGAAGUGGAGCAAGGGCAAGCAAAAGGAGAAGGUGAACAACGCGGUGCUCUUCGACCAGGUCACCUACGACAAGCUACUCAUCGAGGUGCCCAAGUACAAGAAGAUCACGCCCUCCGUCCUCUCCGAGCGCCUCAGGGUAACGCACCCGCAUCCUCCCUCCCUCCUCCGGAUCUGUUCUUCUUGCUUACUUACCUUCGUCAGAAUUGAGAUCUCGGGAUGGUAG